AUGAUGCCCGUGGCCGUAAUGGUCACAUUAGUCCCGGGCCAGCUUGAGAGUGUCCGAGACAGCAGUAAUAAGACGACUGAUAGUGCAACUCUUAAUGGGUCGCCAAAACCCUUCCACCACCGCCGCCGGCAUUGCCCGUCAGCCUGCAAUGCUCGUUGCUCGCAGAACUGGAGGAACAAGAUAUGUAACAAAGACUGCAAUAUUUGUUGCGACAAGUGUAACUGCGUCCCUUCCGGCACCGGCCAGGAGACCCGUAGUGAAUGCCCCUGCUACGCCAACUUGGUCGACUCAAAGACCGGCAAGCUCAAGUGCCCGUAG
RNAcentral lists this ribosomal RNA (318 nucleotides) under Triticum aestivum (bread wheat). Its description in RNAcentral is "partial small subunit ribosomal RNA". The record is from RNAcentral. Lineage: Eukaryota; Viridiplantae; Streptophyta; Magnoliopsida; Poales; Poaceae.